Long non-coding RNA from Oncorhynchus keta (chum salmon), 992 nucleotides. RefSeq lists it as uncharacterized. The transcript has 4 exons. Lineage: Eukaryota; Metazoa; Chordata; Actinopteri; Salmoniformes; Salmonidae. The record is from RefSeq and is a predicted model, not a curated record.
ACUAGGUCUAUCUAUCAGUAUAGGCAGGUCAGACACCAGACAGAACCGGGCACUAGGUCUAUCUAUCAGUAUAGGCAGGUCAGACACCAGACAGACAGAACAGGGCACUAGGUCUAUCUAUCAGUAUAGGCAGGUCAGACACCAGACAGAACAGGGCACUAGGUCUAUCUAUCAGUAUAGGCAGGUCAGACACCAGACAGAACAGGGCACUAGGUCUAUCUAUCAGUAUAGGCAGGUCAGACACCAGACAGAACCGGGCACUAGGUCUAUCUAUCAGUAUAGGCAGGUCAGACACCAGACAGAACCGGGCACUAGGUCUAUCUAUCAGUAUAGGCAGGUCAGACACCAGACAGACAGAACUGGGCACUAGGUCUAUCUAUCAGUAUAGGCAGGUCAGACACCAGACAGAACAGGGCACUAGGUCUAUCUAUCAGUAUAGGCAGGUCAGACACCAGACAGAACUGGGCACUAGGUCUAUCUAUCAGUAUAGGCAGGUCAGACACCAGACAGAACAGGGCACUAGGUCUAUCUAUCAGUAUAGGCAGGUCAGACACCAGACAGAACAGGGCACUAGGUCUAUCUAUCAGUAUAGGCAGGUCAGACACCAGACAGAACAGGGCACUAGGUCUAUCUAUCAGUAUAGGCAGGUCAGACACCAGACAGAACCGGGCACUAGGUCUAUCUAUCAGUAUAGGCAGGUCAGACACCAGACAGACAGAACAGGGCACUAGGUCUAUCUAUCAGUAUAGGCAGGUCAGACACCAGACAGACAGAACAGGGCACUAGGUCUAUCUAUCAGUAUAGGCAGGUCAGACACCAGACAGACAGAACAGGGCACUAGGUCUAUCUAUCAGUAUAGGCAGGUCAGACACCAGACAGAACCGGGCACUAGGUCUAUCUAUCAGUAUAGACAGGUCAGACACCAGACAGAACAGGGCACUAGGUCUAUCUAUCAGUAUAGACAGGUCAGACACCAGACAGAACCGUACACU